CCCAGCAAUGGGCAACCGGCGAACGGGUGCGUAACACGUGAGCAACCUACCGAAUUGUGGGGGAUAGCCGGCCCAACGGCCGGGUAAUACCGCAUACGAUCGAGACGAGGCAUUUCGACUCGAUGAAAUCUACGGAGCAAUUCGAGGGGCUCGCGGCCUAUCAGCUAGUUGGCGAGGUAACGGCUCACCAAGGCGACGACGGGUAGCUGGUCUGAGAGGAUGGCCAGCCACAUUGGGACUGAGAUACGGCCCAGACUCCUACGGGAGGCAGCAGUGGGGAAUCUUGCGCAAUGGCCUAACGGCUGACGCAGCGACGCCGCGUGAGGGAUGACGCUCUUCGGAGUGUAAACCUCUUUUGCCCGGGACGAAUUGCCAACAUUCGUUGGCUUGACGGUACCGGGUGAAUAAGCACCGGCUAACUCCGUGCCAGCAGCCGCGGUAAUACGGGGGGUGCGAGCGUUGUCCGGAAUCACUGGGCGUAAAGGGCGCGUAGGUGGUCUGAUAAGGGUGUGGUGAAAGCCCGGGGCUCAACCCCGGGUCGGCCGUGCCGACUGUUGGACUAGAGUGCUGUAGGGGCAGGCGGAAUUCCGGGUGUAGCGGUGGAAUGCGUAGAGAUCCGGAGGAAGACCGGUGGCGAAGGCGGCCUGCUGGGCAGUUACUGACACUGAGGCGCGACAGCGUGGUGAGCAAACAGGAUUAGAUACCCUGGUAGUCCACGCCGUAAACGAUGGGUACUAGGUGCCUGGGGGAGCGACCCCUUGGGUGCCGGCGCUAACGCAGGAAGUACCCCGCCUGGGGAGUACGG
This 805-nucleotide ribosomal RNA is filed under the name uncultured Gemmatimonadota bacterium. RNAcentral's name for it is "bacterial SSU rRNA". It matches the Rfam family "Bacterial small subunit ribosomal RNA", at positions 72 to 885 of the family's 1533-position model. Lineage: Bacteria; Pseudomonadati; Gemmatimonadota. The record is from RNAcentral.